RNAcentral lists this ribosomal RNA (429 nucleotides) under Chloroflexota bacterium. Its description in RNAcentral is "Chloroflexi bacterium partial 16S ribosomal RNA". It matches the Rfam family "Bacterial small subunit ribosomal RNA", at positions 355 to 776 of the family's 1533-position model. The record is from RNAcentral. Lineage: Bacteria; Bacillati; Chloroflexota.
UGGGGAAUAUUGCACAAUGGGCGCAAGCCUGAUGCAGCCAUGCCGCGUGUAUGAAGAAGGCCUUCGGGUUGUAAAGUACUUUCAGCGGGGAGGAAGGGAGUAAAGUUAAUACCUUUGCUCAUUGACGUUACCCGCAGAAGAAGCACCGGCUAACUCCGUGCCAGCAGCCGCGGUAAUACGGAGGGUGCAAGCGUUAAUCGGAAUUACUGGGCGUAAAGCGCACGCAGGCGGUUUGUUAAGUCAGAUGUGAAAUCCUCGGGCUCAACCUGGGAACUGCAUCUGAUACUGGCAAGCUUGAGUCUUGUAGAGGGGGGUAGAAUUCCAUGUGUAGCGGUGAAAUGCGUAGAGAUGUGGAGGAAUACCGGUGGCGAAGGCGGCCCCCUGGACGAAGACUGACGCUCAGGUGCGAAAGCGUGGGGAGCAAACAAG